UACGGGAGGCAGCAGUGGGGAAUAUUGCACAAUGGGCGCAAGCCUGAUGCAGCCAUGCCGCGUGUAUGAAGAAGGCCUUCGGGUUGUAAAGUACUUUCAGCGGGGAGGAAGGCGAUGUGGUUAAUAACCGCGUCGAUUGACGUUACCCGCAGAAGAAGCACCGGCUAACUCCGUGCCAGCAGCCGCGGUAAUACGGAGGGUGCAAGCGUUAAUCGGAAUUACUGGGCGUAAAGCGCACGCAGGCGGUCUGUUAAGUCAGAUGUGAAAUCCCCGGGCUUAACCUGGGAACUGCAUUUUGAAACUGGCAGGCUUGAGUCUCGUAGAGGGGGUAGAAUUCCAGGUGUAGCGGUGAAAUGCGUAGAGAUCUGGAGGAAUACCGGUGGCGAAGGCGGCCCCUGGGACGAAGACUGACGCUCAGGUGCGAAAGCGUGGGGAGCAAACAGGAUUAGGAUACC
RNAcentral lists this ribosomal RNA (455 nucleotides) under uncultured bacterium. RNAcentral's name for it is "bacterial SSU rRNA". It matches the Rfam family "Bacterial small subunit ribosomal RNA", at positions 340 to 786 of the family's 1533-position model. The record is from RNAcentral.